AGCGAACGCUGGCGGCAUGCCUAACACAUGCAAGUCGAGCGCUCCCAGCAAUGGGGGAGCGGCGGACGGGUGAGUAACGCGUAGGAACGUAUCCUGAGGUGGGGGAUAACCCUGGGAAACUAGGGCUAAUACCGCAUGAUGGCGAGAGCCCAAAGAUUUAUCGCCUUGGGAGCGGCCUGCGUCUGAUUAGCUUGUUGGUGGGGUAACGGCCUACCAAGGCGAUGAUCAGUAGCUGGUCUGAGAGGAUGAUCAGCCACACUGGGACUGAGACACGGCCCAGACUCCUACGGGAGGCAGCAGUGAGGAAUAUUGCACAAUGGGCGAAAGCCUGAUGCAGCGACGCCGCGUGGGUGAAGAAGGUUUUCGGAUCGUAAAACCCUUUUCUGUGUGACGAGAACGGACGGUAGCACAGGAAUAAGUCUCGGCUAACUACGUG
RNAcentral lists this ribosomal RNA (436 nucleotides) under uncultured bacterium. RNAcentral's name for it is "bacterial SSU rRNA". It matches the Rfam family "Bacterial small subunit ribosomal RNA", at positions 29 to 507 of the family's 1533-position model. The record is from RNAcentral.